UCCUCUAACUUUCAAGCUACCUCAGAGGAGGCACUUGCCAGCGAGACCUCGGCGUCGGCCUCUUUUCAUUCGGCACAUCCCAUGAUCUGCAACAACCGUCUUUAUUAUUAUUGCAAUCGACUUUAACUAGCUCGCGUACACAUUGUGCAAAUGUUGCUCGUGUUUGUGGUAUGCGACGUCACAAAUAAAUUAUAUCGAUAAUAUGACGGAUAAUGGCACAGCUAAAACUAAGACGAAGAACACGAGAAGCGGAGAUGAGGCGCAGAAUAGAAGAAAACCUGCCACGCCGAACAUGUAACGCAGGAGCAAUAGAAAACAGGAACUAGAUAUUAAGCAAGUGUCCAUGCACGAGGAAAUUAGUAUAUUGAGUUCGUUUUGUCGUUCAUAUUAAAUGGCAGGGAAUAGUGAGAAAUAGGAAAACAAACACCGAAAGACAUAAAGGGGAGUAUGAACCGGAGGACACUGUGACUGGAAGAGUAAAUCUAGGAGAAAAUAUCAAAAGUUCCAAGGAACCCACAAA
Molecule: long non-coding RNA, 520 nt
Organism: Bombus pascuorum
Lineage: Eukaryota; Metazoa; Arthropoda; Insecta; Hymenoptera; Apidae
Exons: 2
Source: RefSeq, a predicted model, not a curated record